GGAGGUAGUGACAAGAAAUAACAAUACGGGGCUUUACGUCUUGUAAUUGGAAUGAUGGGAAUCUAAACCUCUUCCAGAGUAUCAAUUGGAGGGCAAGUCUGGUGCCAGCAGCCGCGGUAAUUCCAGCUCCAAUAGCGUAUAUUAAAAUUGUUGCAGUUAAAAAGCUCGUAGUUGAAUUUCUGCUGCAUCGCCUUUUCUCCUUUACGAGUUUUGGCAUUGUGGCUUAUUUCGGAUUUGCUUGCAUUUCCGAAUGUUUACUUUGAGAAAAUUAGAGUGCUCAAAGCAGGCUUUUGCCUUGAAUAGUUUAGCAUGGAAUAAUAAAGUAGGACUUUGGUUCUAUUUUGUUGGUUUUAKGUACCAAAGUAAUGG
RNAcentral lists this ribosomal RNA (369 nucleotides) under Theileria sp. Its description in RNAcentral is "SSU rRNA". Lineage: Eukaryota; Apicomplexa; Aconoidasida; Piroplasmida; Theileriidae. The record is from RNAcentral.